CCUACGGGGGGCAGCAGUCGAGAAUCAUUCACAAUGGGGGAAACCCUGAUGGUGCGACGCCGCGUGGGGGAAUGAAGGUCUUCGGAUUGUAACCCCCUGUCAUGUGGGAGCAAAUUAAAAAGAUAGUACCACAAGAGGAAGAGACGGCUAACUCUGUGCCAGCAGCCGCGGUAAUACAGAGGUCUCAAGCGUUGUUCGGAAUCACUGGGCGUAAGGCGUGCGUAGGCUGUUUCGUAAGUCGUGUGUGAAAGGCGCGGGCUCAACCCGCGGACGGCACAUGAUACUGCGAGACUAGAGUAAUGGAGGGGGAACCGGAAUUCUCGGUGUAGCAGUGAAAUGCGUAGAUAUCGAGAGGAACACUCGUGGCGAAGGCGGGUUCCUGGACAUUAACUGACGCUGAGGCACGAAGGCCAGGGGAGCGAAAGGGAUUAGAUACCCCUGUAGUC
This 446-nucleotide ribosomal RNA is filed under the name uncultured bacterium. Its description in RNAcentral is "partial 16S ribosomal RNA". It matches the Rfam family "Bacterial small subunit ribosomal RNA", at positions 338 to 795 of the family's 1533-position model. The record is from RNAcentral.